This 2107-nucleotide long non-coding RNA is filed under the name Lathyrus oleraceus (garden pea). RNAcentral's name for it is "Pisum sativum (pea) long non-coding RNA (PSAT_LNC030365)". The record is from RNAcentral. Lineage: Eukaryota; Viridiplantae; Streptophyta; Magnoliopsida; Fabales; Fabaceae.
UUAUUUUGGAAUUUUUUUUGAAAAGUUGGUUAUUUUGUGAUGUAGGACUCUCUUUAGCAUCUUUCGAUUUUUCUCUUUUUUUCUUUCAUUGCCUUAUGUUUUGUUCUCGUCCUCAAACUAUUUUUUCUCUAAUUCCUCACCGAUAAUCCAAACCGAGCAGAAAAUUGUAUGAACCCUAAAAACGGAAUAUGAAAUUAUAUGGCACAGAGGAGGAAUCAAAGCCUAAAAUGUUAGGGCUUUGAUUCCUCAUACCUAAUUCUACAUGGUGGUAACGACUUCAGUGUGUAUUAAGGAGGAAGAGACUCACCUACUACGUGAAGAUUGGCCCCGGAGCUGUAGAAGUUGAAGAAGAAGAUGAUGAACAAGAGUAUUAGAAAUUCUGCAAUGAGGUAAACAACUCAAAUCCCAAGUUAUCACAGUGGAAUUUCCUUAUUCUUAUUCUUCUUCUUCUUAAGAGUGUAGUUUGUAGGUGAAAUUGGUGUUUCUCUGUGUUCAUUGUUGUAUGUGCGUGAGAGAAUAGUGAAAGAUUUGCAGAGAGGGAGAGUUUCAGUGAAUUUGUGAAUUGUGAUUCGAUGAUGAAUAGGGAAUGAGAGGAUUUAUAGGGAUGUUUAUGCAACUAACUCGGGCAAGCUAUGGCAGGUCUGUUUGUAGUUAGGGCAGGGUUAGAUUGUUAGUUGAAUCAAGGAGAAAGUUAGUUAUGAUGAAUGUAACUCUGUUAGAUUUUCUGUUAAAGUUAGUUAGCGUUUGAACUUGAGGUUAGUUGAGGUUAGUUGAUUUUGAAUUUGAAGUGUUAGUGAGUUAUAGUAGGCUUUAGUUAGAAGUGAAGUUGGUUCCUCCUGUUAGUAAUAGUUAGUGUAAUUAUGAGGCUGUUAGUUGAAUGAAUGAGUUAAUCAUUGUUAAAAUCUUGCUGUAGCAGCUAGCUAAAUGUUAGAAGUUGAAAAAAUUGUAGUUAUCAUUGAAUUGAAUUGGUGUUAUGAAAAUGUGAAUGUUAGUUUUUUGAUGUCAUGGUCUAGGCUGCUAUUGUUUUGGAAUUGUCAAUUAGUGCAUAUAUGUAGCAGACCAUUAAUUGAAUUGUUAGGAUUGAGUUAAUGAAUUUAAGCUGUUUGAAGAACUGCCAUGGACUGAUUUUGGAUCAAUGGGACUUUUAGAAGUUAGUUAACAUGUUUAUGGUGAUGUCAGUUAUGAAGUUAGUUUGUUAUAUCAGUUAGAACAUAUUAGUCAUGUGAUUGUAUCGCUUGAUUAUUUGAUGCAUAACCUACUAUGAUUAGUGCAAACAUAAGUGACUGUUAGUAGAAGUUAAAUGAAAUAUUUAGAACUUGUUUAAUAUUGAGUUGUUAUGCUAAUUCGUAUGACUAUUAGUGGUUAAGGUUUGGAAUUUUGGACUGUGAUUCUUGGUUUAGAUGUAUGCUUAUGGUGAAACUAAGUGAUAUGCUUGACUGCACCUGACUUGUUCUUCUAUGUAUUGAACUUCAUUGGCCUAAAUGCUUGACAUGAUGUACAUAUGGAUUUGAAUGCAUGCUUACUUGACUAAUUUGGAAAUUGAUGAAUGGUUUACUUUGAAUGGGAAAUGGCUUGUGUCUACCAUGGUUUGUUUGAUUAUUGAUUAUGUAUGUUGGUGUGAUUGGUGCAGGACUGGCUGGUGUGGUCAUGGCUUGGCUUUGAAGACAGCAUCAUAAUGGCAUGCAAGGUUGGCAAUGCAUGAAGAAUUUUAGCACUAAGGCGCGAAGGAUUUUGAAAACAUUGGAGGCUUGGAGAAUCACAAAGAUGGGAUGGCUUGUAAAUGAAGAAAAGUAGAAUAGGGUUUAGGAUAGGUAGUUGACUUUGGUCAAAUGUUUGACCAAAAAGUCAACAGUUGACCAAAAGUCAACUCUAGGUCAAAGUAGCAUUUUUUCUAUAGAAUUUUGUUUGACUUUUGUAGUGGAAUGUUUGAAGGUUUUGUGAUGGAAAUUGAUCUUUGAAUGGCAAUGCAACUUGUUCUUCAAGAAAAACAUUUGUUCCUCCAAUUGGCAUUUGAAUAUUCGAAUUUGAAUUGAUCUUGUAUGAAUUGUGAACUAUAAUGCAUUGCCUUGAAUCCAAACCAAACAACUAAUGGACUAGUGUAUUAAAA